UACCUAAUUUGUUGUCCAUCAUGUAAAAUUUAAGUGAUGAUAGACGCCAAUUUGGGUAGA
RNAcentral lists this microRNA precursor (60 nucleotides) under Rattus norvegicus (Norway rat). RNAcentral describes it as "Rno-Mir-506-P17_pre stem-loop". It matches the Rfam family "mir-463 microRNA precursor family". The record is from RNAcentral. Lineage: Eukaryota; Metazoa; Chordata; Mammalia; Rodentia; Muridae.